Molecule: small RNA, 2657 nt
Filed under: Pongo abelii (Sumatran orangutan)
Lineage: Eukaryota; Metazoa; Chordata; Mammalia; Primates; Hominidae
Description: retained intron
Source: RNAcentral
UUCUCUGCUUUCUGGCAGACCUCCUUCCCUUUCUCUCCCCUCGUCUCUCUUGAACCCCUUCCGCUCAGACUCCUGCACCCACCAUGUCACAGAGCAGCUCUCACUGAGGUCACCAGCCACCUCCACUCUGUUGGUCCAGAGGCCGUGCUGGGCCCUCAUCCUGUGGAACUGCCAGCAGCAUCUUCUUUCGUAAAAUGCCCCUGCUUGGGGCAGCACUCUCUGGUUCUCCCUCCACACUGGCUGGGCCUCUGUGUCUGUGCGUUCUGCUCGUCUCCCUGAGCUCUCCCCAUCGGGGCUUCUCCAGACUCGGUGCUUCGGCAGCCCCCCCUUUUCUAACUCCAGGUGUUCCUUGGGGCAUCUCAUGUCAUCUCCAGCAUUAAACCACGUCUCUACUCUGAUGAUUCCUGAGGCUAUUCCCUGGAGUUCUCUCCUGAACUCCAGGCUCAACAGCCCAGCCAUCUACACAGUCCCUCCACGUGGUGGCCUCAGAGCUACUGCAAGCUUCCAUGAUCACAGCUGAAUUGCUGGUGGCCUGCCCUGCCCCAAACCUGUAGCUCUGUCCUCUUCUCCACGGGAAUGGAAGCUCUUUGCUCCCAUUGCUCAAGCCCAAAAGCCCAGGGGUCAUCCUCAGCCGCUCCUUCUCUGUCAUACACCGCAUCCUAUUCGUCAGCAAAAUCCAUCUAGAAUCUGCCCGCUUCUCGCUGUUUCCACUGCCACCUCCUGAGCUGGGCCACCUUCAUCUUUUGGUCUCUCACCUAAAUCAUUGCCAUAGUCUCCCAGCUGGUUUCUCUGCUUUCACCCCUGCUCUGACAGUCUCUUCCAGCACAACAGCUAGGGCAGUCCUGUCCAGGCAUAAGUCACAGCACGCCUCUACCCUGCUCAGAGCCUCCAUGGCACCCAUCUUACCCGAGUCAAAGCCCCGUCCUUCAGUGGCCCUUGGGCCUUGUGCAGUCACUGUGUCACCCCCAACAUCUCCUUCUCCACCCUCGCCCUGCCUAGCUGCCCGUUGUCUGCUCCUGCCUCCUGCUGUGGCAGCGCCGUCUCCCCUAUGCAGAGCCCUAGGCACCCACUGCCCGGUGGGUGAUCUCUUCAGGCCUUCAGGUUUCUGUCACUCAGUUCCCCUGGCCCUCCCUGAUAGCCCCAUUGAGGACAGGAGCCACCUCUACCCCCAGCAAGAUCACCCUCCUUGCCUGCUUUGCUUUUCCCCCCAGCACUAACCACUGCCGGCCACGCUUUGUGUUUGCUUGUUUGUUUCUGUUUCCUUCUAUUGGAAUCUCAGUUCCUUGAGAACAGGGCCUGGUUUUUCACUGCUGUACCUCCCGUGCUUUGAAUGGUUUCUGGCACAUAGUGGGUGCUUAGUAAAUAUUUGUGCGAUGAGUGGAGGGACAGCCCCACAGGCUGAGUGAAGUCAGUGCUGGGCCAGAGGGCAGCAUAGGCACCAUGGGGACCCCCAGGUGGGUGCUGAGCCCCAGGCAGUGAGCCCUUGUGCUGCCCCUGCCCAGCCUUGGCCACCCUGCACAGGUUCAACCGGGCAGCGCUCAUCAACGUGGGCUUCCUGGAGAGCAGCAACAGCACGGACUACAUUGCCAUGCACGACGUUGACCUGCUCCCUCUCAACGAGGAGCUGGACUAUGGCUUUCCUGAGGCUGGGCCCUUCCACGUGGCCUCCCCGGAGCUCCACCCUCUCUACCACUACAAGACCUAUGUCGGCGGCAUCCUGCUGCUCUCCAAGCAGCACUACCAGCUGUGCAAUGGGAUGUCCAACCGCUUCUGGGGCUGGGGCCGCGAGGACGACGAGUUCUACCGUCGCAUUAAAGGAGCUGGGCUCCAGCUUUUCCGCCCCUCGGGAAUCACAACUGGGUAUAAGACGUUUCGCCACCUGCAUGACCCAGCCUGGCGGAAGAGGGACCAGAAGCGCAUCGCGGCUCAAAAACAGGAGCAGUUCAAGGUGGACAGGGAGGGAGGCCUGAACACUGUGAAGUACCAUGUGGCUUCCCGCACUGCCCUGUCUGUGGGCGGGGCCCCCUGCACUGUCCUCAACAUCAUGUUGGACUGUGACAAGACCGCCACACCCUGGUGCACAUUCAGCUGAGUUGGAUGGACAGUGAGGAAGCCUGUACCGACAGUCCACAUGGCUCAGGCUCAGGACAAGGCGUCAGGUCGCAGGCCCAGCUCUGACAGGAUGUGGAGUGGCCAGGACCAAGACAGCAAGCUACGCAAUUGCAGCCACCCGGCCUCCAAGGCAGGCUUGGGCUGGGCCAGGACACGUGGGGUGCCUGGGACGCUGCUUGCCAUGCACAGUGAUCAGAGAGAGGCUGGAGUGUGUCCUGGCCGGGACCCCCCCGCCUUCCUGCUCACCCUACUCUGACCUCCUUCACGUGCCAAGGCCUGUGAGUGGGGAGGGCUGAACAGGACCACCUCUCAUCAACCCCACUUUUGUUCCUUCCUGCUGGGCUGCCUCGUGCAGAGACACAGCGUAGGGGCCAUGCAGCUGGCGUAGGUGGCAGUUGGGCCUGGGAGGGUUAGAACUUCAGAAACCAGAGCACAAGCCCCACAGAGGGGAACAGCCAGCACCGCUCUAGCUGGUUGUUGCCGUGCCGGAAUGUGGGCCUAGUGUUGCCAGAUCUUCUGAGUUUUCGAAAGAAACUAGAAUGCUG